This 467-nucleotide ribosomal RNA is filed under the name uncultured bacterium. RNAcentral describes it as "partial 16S ribosomal RNA". It matches the Rfam family "Bacterial small subunit ribosomal RNA", at positions 28 to 506 of the family's 1533-position model. The record is from RNAcentral.
GACGAACGCUGGCGGCGUGCUUAACACAUGCAAGUCGAACGGAAAGGCCCUGCUUUUGUGGGGUGCUCGAGUGGCGAACGGGUGAGUAACACGUGAGUAACCUGCCCUUGACUUUGGGAUAACUUCAGGAAACUGGGGCUAAUACCGGAUAGGAGCUCCUGCUGCAUGGUGGGGGUUGGAAAGUUUCGGCGGUUGGGGAUGGACUCGCGGCUUAUCAGCUUGUUGGUGGGGUAGUGGCUUACCAAGGCUUUGACGGGUAGCCGGCCUGAGAGGGUGACCGGCCACAUUGGGACUGAGAUACGGCCCAGACUCCUACGGGGGGCAGCAGGGGGGAAUAUUGCACAAGGGGCGGAAGCCUGAUGCAGCAACGCCGCGUGGGGGAUGACGGCCUUCGGGUUGUAAACCGUUUUCCCCUGUGACGAAGGGUGGGUGGCGGUAAUGGGUAAAGAAGCACCGGCUAACUACGG